Long non-coding RNA from Vicia villosa (hairy vetch), 1366 nucleotides. RefSeq lists it as uncharacterized. The transcript has 3 exons. Lineage: Eukaryota; Viridiplantae; Streptophyta; Magnoliopsida; Fabales; Fabaceae. The record is from RefSeq and is a predicted model, not a curated record.
GCGUGUCUUUGGGUUUUAUAUCGAUCAUUAUUUAUCAUCCUACAUUGCACUCAGGCAUAUGUGCUAACAGUUACACUGGCAUCACAAGUAUGAACAAACUCAUCCAAAUAUUAGCUUUUUUGUAUUCAGCUUACUAAUCGGGCCUAUGAUUUAAAGCUUCUAUAUAUUCAGAUUAGUGUUUGUACUUCUCAGACAAAUUUAAUAGUAUUUCAGAAUAUUAAUGGUAUCAUAUAUGGUUUUUGCCUAUUUUUACUAUACUAAAUAAUCAACGUGCACUGCUCUUACAUCCCCUUCCUGUUUUCAGGUUGUUGAUGCGUAUAUGAUGAACCGAACUCUAAAUGAGAAGGGAUACAAUGCAUAUGCCUUCUCCAUUCCUUCAGGGAAGGAGUUUCUGUCCAUACUUAGUCUUUCUGCUCCUGUAUUUGUGACAUUGAUGUUGAAGGUGGCUUUCUACUAUCUACUUAUAUAUUUUGCUACAUCAAUGAGUACACAUAAAAUGGUUGCUUAUAAAGUUAGUUUUUCUCUGAAAUCUGGAAGUGAAAUAGUGAUGAGUUAUUACGUUUAACUUUUUAAAUCUGGUUUUUUGUUCUAUUUGUAGGUUAGUGAUUGGUUCGUCACAGGUCAGUGUUUGUUUUGUUUGUAUCACAGGAAAUGUUUUUUCCUUUGGAGAAUCGAGGGCUUUAACAAGUGCGGGAAAGUUCGGCUACUAAAAGAUUCACCGGCGGGCUACAAAAAACUAUUACCAAUUUCAUUACUUCAGGAUAAGCCAAUAGGAAAAAGAAUUCAUUUUCAGAUUUUACAAAUAAUUACUUUCUCAGUGAUACAGCAACUGAUUUGGAUAAGUCUUUCGUCGGUGUUUGCCUUCAAUGCCCGAAUCAACCAAAUAACCGCACAUGUUAAACCAUGUUUUGCGAUAAUGAUGCAGGGCAAAACCGAGUCAUACAACUGAUGUACCGAAUGAUCUCGGGGCUGAACAGGGUCAUACAAAUGUUAUACUGAAUGAUGCAGGGGCAAAACCGAGUCCUACAGCUGAUAUACCGAACAUUGUAGGUACUGGCUGAAGGCAAAACCGAGUCCUCAGAUUCAUGGAGGUUCUGGUGAAAUUGAUGUAUUUGCGAUUCAGGCAGCGAAGUUGGGCAGAUCGAGAGUAAUUGUUGUUGCAGGUGAUGAAGAGAGGCUAUCUUAUUGCGAGAGUAUGGGAAGCAAUUGUUCCACAAAAUAUGCACCCUCAAUAACCUUUUUUUUCUUCAACUGCUCUUCAAGGAUCAUUGUGCUUAGAUUAAUCUGAUUUUCUCUCCCUGCCUCUAUGCAUAUGGAUUCUCUUGCACUCUGAUGCUGGUCCAAGGAUUGCUUCAGUGGCUGGAAU